RNAcentral lists this unclassified non-coding RNA (18 nucleotides) under Chlamydomonas reinhardtii. RNAcentral's name for it is "small RNA Cre_1821". Lineage: Eukaryota; Viridiplantae; Chlorophyta; Chlorophyceae; Chlamydomonadales; Chlamydomonadaceae. The record is from RNAcentral.
GGAGAAGGCGGGUAGCUG